GACAGAGGGGGCAAGCGUUGUCCGGAGUGACUGGGCGUACAGCGCGCGCAGGCGGUUGGUGACGUGCCGUGUCACAGCCCUGAGCUCAACUCAGGGUGGCCACGGUAGACGCACCGGCUGGAGGCAGGGAGAGGGAUGUGGAAUACCCGGUGGAGCGGUGAAAUGCGUAGAGAUCGGGUGGAACACCAGUGGCGAAGGCGGCUCACUGGUCCGGUACUGACGCUGAGGUGCGAAAGCGUGGGGAGCAAACAGG
RNAcentral lists this ribosomal RNA (253 nucleotides) under uncultured bacterium. Its description in RNAcentral is "partial 16S ribosomal RNA". It matches the Rfam family "Bacterial small subunit ribosomal RNA", at positions 524 to 776 of the family's 1533-position model. The record is from RNAcentral.